This 253-nucleotide ribosomal RNA is filed under the name uncultured bacterium. RNAcentral's name for it is "partial 16S ribosomal RNA". It matches the Rfam family "Bacterial small subunit ribosomal RNA", at positions 524 to 776 of the family's 1533-position model. The record is from RNAcentral.
UACGAAGGGGGCUAGCGUUGCUCGGAAUCACUGGGCGUAAAGGGUGCGUAGGCGGGUCUUUAAGUCCGGGGUGAAAUGCCAAGGCUCAACCUUGGAACUGCCUUUGAUACUGGAGACCUUGAGUCCGGGAGAGGUGAGUGGAAUUGCGAGUGUAGAGGUGAAAUUCGUAGAUAUUCGCAAGAACACCAGUGGCGAAGGCGGCUCACUGGCCCGGAACUGACGCUGAGAUGCGAAGGCGUGGGGAGCAAACAGG